RNAcentral lists this ribosomal RNA (279 nucleotides) under uncultured bacterium. Its description in RNAcentral is "partial 16S ribosomal RNA". It matches the Rfam family "Bacterial small subunit ribosomal RNA", at positions 506 to 784 of the family's 1533-position model. The record is from RNAcentral.
UGCCAGCAGCCGCGGUAAUACGGAGGGGGCAAGCGUUGUUCGGUAUCACUGGGCUUAAAGGGUGCGCAGGCGGAACUUUAAGUCAGUGGUGAAAUCUUGCCGCUUAACGGUAAAAUUGCCGUUGAUACUGAAGUUCUUGAAUGUAGUUGAGGUAGGCGGAAUGUGUUGCGUAGCGGUGAAAUGCAUAGAUAUGACACAGAACGCCAAUUGCGAAGGCAGCUUACUAAGCUACGAUUGACGCUGAGGCACGAAAGCGUGGGGAGCAAACAGGAUUAGAUA